CGCUGGCGGCAAGCCUAACACAUGCAAGUCGAGCGGCAGCGAAAAGAAAGCUUGCUUUCUUGUCGGCGAGCGGCAAACGGGUGAGUAAUAUCUGGGAAUCUACCCAAAAGAGGGGGAUAACUACUAGAAAUGGUAGCUAAUACCGCAUAAAGUCGAAAGACCAAAGUGGGGGACUUUAAUAAGCCUCAUGCUUUUGGAUGAGCCCAGACGAGAUUAGCUUGUUGGUAAGGUAAAAACUUACCAAGGCUACGAUCUCUAGCUGGUCUGAGAGGAUAACCAGCCACACUGGAACUGAGACACGGUCCAGACUCCUACGGGAGGCAGCAGUGGGGAAUAUUGCACAAUGGGCGAAAGCCUGAUGCAGCUAUGCCGCGUGUAUGAAGAAGGCCUUAGGGUUGUAAAGUACUUUCAGCGGGGAGGAAAGGAAUAAAACUAAUAAUUUUAUUUUUUGACGUUACCCGAAGAAGAAGCACCGGCUAACUCCGUGCCAGCAGCCGCGGUAAUACGGAGGGUGCUAGCGUUAAUCAGAAUUACUGGGCGUAAAGAGCACGUAGGUGGCUUUUUAAGUCAGAUGUGAAAUCCCUGGGCUUAACCUAGGAACUGCAUUUGAAACUGAAAUGCUAG
Molecule: ribosomal RNA, 624 nt
Filed under: uncultured organism
Description: SSU rRNA
Rfam family: Bacterial small subunit ribosomal RNA
Source: RNAcentral